GGUGAGUAACACGUGGAUAACCUACCUAUAAGACUGGGAUAACUUCGGGAAACCGGAGCUAAUACCGGAUAAUAUAUUGAACCGCAUGGUUCAAUAGUGAAAGACGGUUUUGCUGUCACUUAUAGAUGGAUCCGCGCCGCAUUAGCUUGUUGGUAAGGUAACGGCUUACCAAGGCAACGAUGCGUAGCCGACCUGAGAGGGUGAUCGGCCACACUGGAACUGAGACACGGUCCAG
RNAcentral lists this ribosomal RNA (235 nucleotides) under uncultured Staphylococcus sp. RNAcentral's name for it is "partial 16S ribosomal RNA". It matches the Rfam family "Bacterial small subunit ribosomal RNA", at positions 105 to 334 of the family's 1533-position model. The record is from RNAcentral. Lineage: Bacteria; Bacillati; Bacillota; Bacilli; Caryophanales; Staphylococcaceae.